GGACGAACGCUGGCGGCGUGCUUAACACAUGCAAGUCGAGCGGAGAAUAUAGCAAUAUAUUCUUAGCGGCGGACGGGUGAGUAACGCGUGGGUAACCUGCCUUUUACAGGGGGAUAACACUGGGAAACUAGUGCUAAUACCGCAUAAAAUAGUGAAGUGGCAUCACUUUACUAUCAAAAGGAGCAAUCCGGUAAAAGAUGGACCCGCGUCCGAUUAGCUAGUUGGAGGGUAACGGCCCACCAAGGCGACGAUCGGUAGCCGAACUGAGAGGUUGAUCGGCCACAUUGGGACUGAGACACGGCCCAGACUCCUACGGGAGGCAGCAGUGGGGAAUAUUGCGCAAGUUACGGGGGGAAACCCUGACGCAGCAACGCCGCGUGAAGGAUGAAGGUUUUCGGAUUGUAAACUUCUUUGAUUGGGGACGAUAAUGACGGUACCCAAAAAACAAGCCACGGCUAACUACGUGCCAGCAGCUGC
This 477-nucleotide ribosomal RNA is filed under the name uncultured bacterium. Its description in RNAcentral is "bacterial SSU rRNA". It matches the Rfam family "Bacterial small subunit ribosomal RNA", at positions 27 to 518 of the family's 1533-position model. The record is from RNAcentral.